RNAcentral lists this ribosomal RNA (326 nucleotides) under uncultured eukaryote. RNAcentral's name for it is "partial 18S ribosomal RNA". It matches the Rfam family "Eukaryotic small subunit ribosomal RNA", at positions 1470 to 1796 of the family's 1831-position model. The record is from RNAcentral.
CCCUUAGAUGUUCUGGGCUGCACGCGCGCUACACUGAUGCGCUCAACGAGUGUACAACCUUGCCCGAUAGGGUUGGGUAACCUUUUGAACACGCAUCGUGAUGGGGAUUGAGUAUUGCAAUUAUUACUCAUCAACGAGGAAUUCCUAGUAAUGAUGAAUCAUCAGUUCAUCGUGAUUACGUCCCUGCCCUUUGUACACACCGCCCGUCGCUCCUACCGAUUGAGCAAUCCGGUGAAUAUUUCGGACCUAGAAUUGUCGGGGCAACUCGUUCAGUUUUGGGAAAGUCAAGUUAACCUUAUUGCUUAGAGGAAGGAGAAGUCGUAACA